UGCAGGUCAGCAGGAAUUGUGCAUUCUGACUGGUAUUUAUUGACUCAGAAGUCCUUGCUGACAGACAGACAGACAAGUAGAAAAGGCUUCCAUUACAGUGACGUCGUUUCUUUCCCUCUUCGCCCCUGAGGCUUUCACUUCUGACACUCUUUACACAUUGCUGUGGCUUCUCCAGCUGCUGCUGAGGCAAAUGGCAGCUGCCUUUCACCUCUCUGGUGCUGGAAGACUGGAUGCCCGUAGGGAAGAGGACUGUCAGGCUUUCAGUGACAUACUGCAGCACAUCUAUCAGAACUGCAGCAACAACACAGAGCUUUGGUGUUCAGCUUUCCCUCUGAGACUUGGCACCUGGAAAACAUCAACAUCUGGACAAAGAACAGCCAGGCAGAGCCUGGCAGGAUGGAGGAAGUCUGCGGGAGAAUUUCUAUCUUGAAAAACUCAUCUUCAGAACAGAAUGUACCCAUUCAUCUAUGGUAUCUGGCUUCAUAUCAUCAAGUAAGUCAGCAUGGCCAGUUCUUCUGGAUUCCUUGCUCUUCUGGAAUAGCCCCCAAAACAUGGAUACUAAUAAAUCAAUUUCUUAGCUGUAGGAAUCUGGAAAUCUAGGCCUUGUUCAAUCAGAUUUUGAUUUCACUGUGGCAGUCAUCAUCUAUAUGGUUCUGGUUUAUUGUAUUAUUUAUACCCAGAAACAACUCUGGGGAUUGUUCUGACUCAGUUCUGGUGAACUAUAAUGCAGCCAUUUGCUCACUUAACAGCACAGGACACCAAAAGCCUUAUUUCUGUCCAUCAUCUCGACAUCAGCUCUCUCGCAUAUAAUCUAGAUGAAGGUUCUGUUAUCAUUAUUCAGGGCCCUAUCUGGGUCUGACUAGGAUACUAAAGCAUCAUCUAGACCAAGAUUAUUCCUUGGAGAAGGCUAUACUUAAAAGAAUAUUUUUUUUACUUUUCAGAAGCGUAUCUGCACAGAAACUCUAUUUUAGCUUGUGUAUGUCUUCAAUGGGAGCUACAAAAUUGCAGAACGUUUAUUAUUUUUCCCUUUCAUUUUGUUCUGGGGUGUUGUGAGGGGUAGUGAAACUGGAAUCUGUAGUGCACAGUCUGGAAAAGUGCAUUGCUGAGACCAGCUACUUAUGUAAAGGUUUUCUGCAUACUGUGGAGUAGAAAGGCUGAAUGACUGGCAUGUGAUAAACCGAGCGGAGAUGUCUUACUGUGAAACCCAACACUUAUUAUACACCUCUAAUCUCAAUAAACUAGAAAAGCAAAACCUUAGCC
Long non-coding RNA from Cygnus olor (mute swan), 1260 nucleotides. RefSeq lists it as uncharacterized. Lineage: Eukaryota; Metazoa; Chordata; Aves; Anseriformes; Anatidae. The transcript has 2 exons. The record is from RefSeq and is a predicted model, not a curated record.